RNAcentral lists this transfer-messenger RNA (409 nucleotides) under Chloroflexota bacterium. RNAcentral describes it as "Chloroflexi bacterium (groundwater metagenome) transfer-messenger RNA". It matches the Rfam family "transfer-messenger RNA". From Rfam's summary of the family: Bacterial tmRNA, also known as 10Sa RNA or SsrA, is named for its dual tRNA and mRNA-like properties. The record is from RNAcentral. Lineage: Bacteria; Bacillati; Chloroflexota.
CACGGCUUCGACGGGGAGGGCUGAACGCAAGUGGCAAGCAGCGGCGCCUGACCGCUCUAAAACGGGCACAAGUGUAUGUGCGAACAACCGCACCAACCUCGCGGCGCUCCCGCUCGCUGCAUAAGCGAUUAGGAUCAAAGUAGAGGUCCGCAGUUAAAUCUGCGGCGUCCGCUUAUGGGUUCCCCCGAAACGCGUAAGUCGGGCGUAACCAAGUUGGGGUAUCUCGGUCGCAAUGCCGAUAGCGACUGACGAAUCACAUGCAAAACAUGUGCAUCGGCUCGGCGCAAGCAAUUCUGACAGUCGAGUCCGUUUGCGCAAGUUAGUUGCACGGGACAUGCAAAUGUCCGGUGCGACCCCAAAGACUGCCUAAGCUUGUAGUCACUUGUGUUCGAACUUUUCGGACGCGGGU